AUGGUGCAAGAAGCAUGCAGAUGGAGAUGAUGAUGACAAUGAUUUUGACUAUGCUCCCGCAGCAUGCAUGGAAGGCAAUGGCGACGAUGAUGAUGGAGACUAUGACGUUGCUCCAGCAGCUUCUCUCGAGGGUGAUGAUGAUGACGAUGGCAGCUAUGAUUAUGCUCCAGCUGCAUGAUUGGAGUGAGUUUAUGAGUGCCCCUAACCGUGGGGUUUCUAACCCAAAACUUUUUGCAUUUAUGAGUGCCCCCCCCCCCGGGUGCGGCUUUAAAGCACCUUGUGGUUGUGGGUUUAUAAGGAUUAUUUUAAUUAAAUGAUAUUCAAGGAGAACAUUGGAUCGUAUUCUAUGUCAGCUAUCGUUAUUAUUUUAGCAAUCUGUGACAAACGUUAAUAUCAUAUACGUUUGAUGAUGAUGAUGUAUAGAUGGUCAUCAUCACUAUAUUAUUAACUACUUAACUAGAGCUUUGUUCUAGUUGUCGUGGAAGCAAUUAAAUAAUUUAUUGCAGUUUUGUACUUAAGCAUAAUCCAUUGUUUUAAAAGAAUGUUUUCUUAUCUGUUGGUGUUAUGGUAAAUAUCAGUCAAACAAGUCAAUGUAGAGCUAAUUAAUCACUGGUUUGAUGGGUACCUAAAAGGUCAGAUUCUAAACUUGAAAAAAAAAAUUUAAUAACUGAUAUUGUUGCUUUUUUAUUUUUUUAAAGGACUUGUGUUUAAGGCAUAUCUAAAUAUAAGACUGUAGGAGAAGAUAAAUAAAGCUGGUUGUUUUCAUGUUCCAAUCAAAAGAAGAUACUGACACUAUGGAAGGGCAUUAUGAAAAAUUCCCAAGGUAGGUUAAUAAAAUCUUGCGGGCCGAUUAGGCGGGCAGUGAGGGAUGGUAAAAGUGUUUUAUUUUGACACGACUGCUGGUUCGCGGAUAAGGAGUUGAAGUUGCUUUUCUCGAGGCUUUAUGGAAUAGCCUCGUUGAAAUGGGUUACUGUGGCAGAUGUGUAUGGGAACCAAUACUGUACUAUGAUUGAUUGGAAGAAGGUUGGUAAAAGUAUCAUAUAAACUUUUGUAUUAAAAAUUAAAUUAUUUUUUUUCUAUUAUAAAAUUGUUAAAUCAGUUUCAAGAGAAAAUUAUUCUUUUGUUAAAAAUUCUAUUCAUUUCUAAUGUUAAAUGGUGAUGUGUUAUUGUGUUUACGUAAAAAAUUUCAUCAAUUUCACUAUUUAUUAAAAUUUCUUCUAUUUCUUUUGUUAAAAUUUUCAUUCAUCCAUAGAUCUACUUGAAUUAGUCCCUCCAAGUCAACAUAAGUUACACAUGAUGUGUCACAUGUUAUUGUUUGGUUGUUGUAUCAGCCACGUUUACAUUUAACAGUAAAAGUUCACGAAAUUUUUAAUAAAAAAGAAUAAUUUAUUUUUUUAUUUGAUAUAUAGGAACUAAUCUAUCAAUUUAAAGAGAACAAAAUGUAAUACAAUUUCUUAAUAUAGGGACUUCCAUGGUAUUUUUAGCAAGUAAGAAUUUUAUAAAGGAGUUGUACAGGUCAUGUACUAAUCGUAUUAUCUGGAUUAGAGAUAUAGCUGGGAAUUUUUCAGUUAAGAGGCUAAUUUUGUUAAUGGCAGAGGAGAUUGAACAACAUUGUGAUUUGGGAUUUGGAAAAUUGUGGAUUUUAUUGAUGCCGUCGAAGGUGAAGGCUUUUUAGUUGCUUGUCAUUCAUAGAAUCCCUACGAAAUAUUUUCUUACGAAGAGAGGGAUUAAGCUGAGUUUGAAUAAGCUUUAAUGCCGUGGGUGUAACAAGUUCGAAGAGACUGACCUUGUCUCUAGCACGGUAUGUGAUCAUGUAUAUGAAUCCUAGUCAUAUACCAUAUCAGUUUCUUCAAAUAAAUGUUAGCUGAAAGGAAAAAUAUAGCCGCGCGCUCGGAAAGGCCAGCAAUUGUUUAGCAGAAUAUCUAUGCAUAUUACUAAACUCGUGCCUUUGUGUGAACUUCAGGUGAUAAUCUUAACUUCUAAAAUCAGAUACUAAGAUGAUACAUGAAAUGAUUCUAUGCGAUAAAACUACAAAAUGAUAUGAUUUUUCAUGCGUAUAAAAUAUUUUACGAUUUUUUUAUAAAUAAAACCAUUCAAAAAUCAUAAAAUUAACUCAAAUAAAUUUUCGAGUUAAAGAUGGUUCCAUCAAUGUCACUAAGAAUAAAAACCCACAAAAACCUUUCACUAGAAAACCGAAAAUGACAACAACAGGAGGAGAAAAAGACCAGACAGAGAAUAUCAAUCAUUUUGUUACAUUUAUAUAUUCAUUACAUAUCUUUCAAUAUUAAUGUAAAAGUAUUGAUUUUUUUUUAUUUUUUAUUUUUGGCUUUGCAACGAAGCCAGCUAAGAUUUGACGCUGUUUUUUAUGUCACAAGCAUCACACGCUCCAAAUUUCCUAUGCCACGAAUCGCCUUGUGUUCCUCUCUAUAUAAACCUCUGCCUAUCUCCCCACCAGUUUCAACCCAAAAGUCUCCUACUGGUGGUUCAAAGUCAAAAGUCAAAAACCAAAAGCUCCUUUCUCACAUAUCUUGGGAUAUCAUCAUCAUGAGUAGCUCAAAGUCAUGUGUCAUCAUGCAUGACGCUGCUGCUGAUAAUAUUAAAAGGUUUCAAAGCAGCUCAAACAUGAACAUCAUCAUGUACGUUGAUGGUGUACAUGUUAUUUCAAACUCGAAUUUAUCGGCUAAACGUGAUUAUGCUCCGGCGCUAGCUUAAUUUUAAGGGGUUAUAGUAACAUUAUCAAACCCUAGUUAUAGUUUUUGCAAUGCUCUAAAACCCUAGUUAGUAUGUUGUACUGUAUGUUUUUAUGUUUUUCCUUUUGGAGUUAAUAUGCAUGCAUGCAUGAUGUAAUCUUAUGAUAACAGGAAGCAAUAUAUAUCGUUGUUGAUCAAUAAAUUGGUUUUCUUUAUUCAUGUUGUAUGAGAAAUUUUAGUACAGUCGUGCGGGAAUUUUGAAUAAAUAAAUUAUUUUAUUAUUAAGUAAUCAAAAGAUUGAACCCUUUUUUUAUAUAUAAUAGAGUCGAAUGAUUAAGAGAUGUCACAUAAAUUAAUUAACCCAACAUGCUAGCAAAAUAUAUAUAUUUUUAAUCAAAAACCUGAUGAUUGACUCCACCAACACAGCUUAUGCGAUGCUAAUCAUUUAAUUAAUUAUUAGUUAUUAAUAAUAAAUAGAUAUCAUGAUGGAUUAUUUUUUUGGAGUUGUAUAGAUGACUCAAAGUCCAUGCAUUUCUACGUUUGUAUGAUAUGUACUUUGUACAACUCAUGAACCAAUAUGGCAAUAUCCAAUAUUUUGCCUAUUUUUUCAUUAACCUAUAAAUUAGGAGCAAAUACUAAUAAUUAUGAUGUUAAUAAGUAUGUAUGUGAAAUAUAAAUUUAAAAGAAAAACGAUUUUUUAUUAUUUUUAAAUAAGAAUAAAAAUCAGUGUAGGAGAAAUGAGGCUACAGGAUGAUAAUUAAUUUAGUCUUAAGAUAAAAUAUUAUUUGUUUAAUAAAAAAUUGUAUUUUACUUUUAUUUUUUUAAAUAUCAUAUAUUUUAAUGCAAUAUCAAGCUUUUUCAUGAUAAACACAAACAUUUGAUAAGAUUUAAUUAUAUAUACUUUUCCCCUUUUUAUCUUUAAUAAAAUGUGUUACUAUUAUAAUAACAUAUGACUGUUUUUCUAUGUUCUUGGUGUGAUUUUUUUACUCGCAAUUUUAGAAUAAUUGAAAUUCAAAAGCUUUUUCCGUCCCUAUAAAUAUAAAAUAAAUCAAUGAAAAAAGUUAAAAGAUGAUAUUAUUGAGUGGAAUAUCCACAAGUAUCAAACAUAAAUUAAGAGUAAUAACAGGGGAAAUAUCAAAUAGAAAGGUAUUUUUUUUAUGUAAAAUAGAAAAAUAAUUAUGCGAAACAAAAAUGAUAAUCUUUUUAAUAUAUACAAAUUUAAUCAUAAUAUUAUUUUUUUAAAAAAUUCACCCACAUAAUGAGUGUGAGUUGUAAUAUAAUCUAAUUUAUGGAAAAAAAUGUAAAUUAUUUUUUGUUAAAAAAAGAAAAUUAGAUAAAAUAAAAUGGAAUUGUUGUUAUAUAAUAACUAUUAACGGUUUAUUUUCUCAAAACUUUAAACAAGAAAAAUUAUCUUGUAAAAAUUUGGCUUAAUGAAUCCUUGUCCUAUUGGUUAUGGCCGUUUAUGUUAUAAUCUAUUUCGUGGGUUUAAAUUGUUAUUUGCGGGGUAAUGAUUUAUUCUUAAUAAAGGCGUGUGAGAUGUAAAAAUAAAAUCCAACUUAAUUAACUUUUCUUUGGGUGAAGGUGGCUUAAUUUAUGAUUAAUGGAGAAUAUUUUUUAAUAUUUGUUAUUUUUGAUAUAAUGCUUGGAACUAUUUAUAGCUUCUCCUCAACCCUUAAAUAGAAAGAUGAUGCGCUUCAGCGCAUUCGAACCCACGACCACUUGCACUGGUAAUAAUAUCGAUGUUAAUUGAGUUAAGACUCAAUCGACUCUAUUAAGAAAGUUUUAUAUUAGGUAAAAAAUUAAAAUGAUGAUCAAAUACAUUUAAUACAUAAUGAUGAUUAAUUGGCAUUGUUGUCAAUAAAGGAAGACGUGAUUUCGAGUGCGCACAAAAAGAUAACUUAUCAAACACACAAUUUUAAUUAAACAAUUGUGGGCUUAAAUUUUGUAGCAUUUUGAUUUUCUUAUAUAUAAAAGAAUUCCAACAAGUAGCACUAGUAGGCAAAUAACUAUUGAAUAAUCUAUCCUCAAAACUAAUAAUUAUUUUGCUUUCCUAUCUGAAUACCUUUUAGAAUCACUUUAAAAUAAAUCAAAAGCCUUCCAAUUUGUUAAAUAUAAAAGAUUAAGACUAAUUAAUAAGACAAGAUCAUGAAGAUGUUUUCUUUAAUCUUUAUCAGAUUUAUUCCGCCCAGUUGAAAUUAAGAUAUUCUGAGGAUUUAAUACCAAACGAGUCUGUGUUUUGUCUCCAUCAAGAUUCCCCUAAUUAAUAAAAAAAAAAGCAUCAACCAUUAUCAUUAUUAUGUGGUUUUAAAAGCUUUGUUUGUUAAAUCGAAAUUUAAUUAACUUGGAAGCCAAACCUUAAUAUCUACAACCUCUUUAAUCUCAUGAUUCAUUUGAAAAUGUCGAGCAAAAUGAACGAAAAUCUUCUGCCCCUCCCCAUGCCCCCCUUCUUGAAAUUAAGACACACGUUUUUUUAUAUAUUUUUAUCACUCAUUUCUUAAAUUUUAUAUUAAUUGUAGGAUUAAGAGCAAUAAAAAAUAAGAAUAAUAAAUUGGGAUAAUAAAUAAGAAAUUAAAUCGAAUAAUUAUUUUUAUUAUAAAAUAAAUAUUGUCAAAGAUAGUUGUUGAAUUAAACUUACAACACUGAGUAAUUAAAGAUAAAAUUAAUUUUAUUAAAGAUUUGAUAAAAAUUAAUUUUUGUAAUUACAAAAUUAUAAAUAUAUGUUUAUGCAAUUAUAAAAUAGAAUUUUAAUCAUUAUAAAGCAUAAAGCAUAACAAAUGAAGAAUCAAAAGAGUACUUAUUUUUUGCAUAUACAUAUAGUUGAUUAGUUGUGGUUUAAUGUUCUAGAUUUAAUCCCUUAAUUCAGUAUAGUUGAUUAUUUAGUUAGAAAAUCAUCUCAUAUAUAGUUAAUAGAAUUUUUUAAACUUCAGAAGUGGGUUAAGAUUGUGUUCUAUAAUAUAUAGAAAAAAAAUGAAAAUAAUUAUACAUAAAUAAAUCCAAUACUUGUCACAAUUUUAACCAUAACUCUUGAGUCUAAAAAUUCUACUACAAGUCGUAUAUCAAACAAUUACUUGUAGUUUAAUGUUGUAGAUUUAAUUCAAGAAUCAUAUUGUCAAACUCAACUUAAAUAUUAGCAUGAGAAAAUCUUCGAUUAUUUUUAUUUUUAUAUUUUAUAAUUCAAAAUAAUAAAUUGAUUUAAUUUAUUAUUUAUUAUUUUUUUACCAAGUCCUACCAUUAUCAAAUUAAAAAAAAUAUUACAAAAAUACAAGAAAAGAAGAGAAAAACGUGUAGCUGAAGGGGGCACAAAUGGGACAUGGGGAAGGGGGGAGGGGGCAGAAGAUUUACGUUCGAGCAAGAUGUGAUUAUGUUGCCAUGAUGAUGCCACAACUAUUUGGCCAUAGCUAGCUCCAAACCACAUGUUAGAGGAUAAUGAGCUUCACUUUUUCAUAUCCUGCGAAAGCGGCAAUAUGAUUUAAUUUUUUCUUUUUCUUUUUUUAGAUUCUAAUGUGUAGCCCACCACCCUGCCCCAAAGAUGACUUUACUAACAUCAAAGGCCAUUGAUAUGCAGAGGAGAAUCUGCUGAUUUGUCACCUUAGGAGGCUGGACUGCGCACCGCCACCUAUGCUCGGCACUUGGGCAAGCACAAGGCAGCACAACUUUUCGUCUUUAUUCCACACUCUUCGCGUGGUAGCCUUGUGGCAGAAAGAGGCUAUUCACCACCUCUACCAACACCGCCAUCUAUAUAAGCACUUAUGGCAUCCUUUCAAACCCAACGAUCAAGUUUCAGAUUGAAUUUUAGUAUAAUUCAACCACAAACACAAGCCACCAUUAGACCCAUUUUUAAACCACAGUUCCUCCUUUGUUACAGUACAGAAGUAGAAGGAAAAUGUCAGCUUUAUCCAAGGUUGUUGCUUCAUGGUGCAAGAAUCAUGUAGUUGGAGACGAUGAUGACAAUGAUUUUGACUAUGCUCCCGCAGCAUGCAUGGAAGGCGAUGGCGACGAUGAUGAUGGAGACGAUGACUAUGCUCCAGCAGCUUCUCUCGAGGGUGAUGAUGAUGAUGAUGGCAGCUAUGAUUAUGCUCCAGCUGCAUGAGUGAAUAUAAAUAGUUAGUCCUUAUGGUAUUUGCUCUUAACAGCAUCAAACCCUAAUCAUGGGGUUUCUAACCCAAAACUUUUUGCAAUUCUAUUAUGGAGU
Molecule: long non-coding RNA, 6882 nt
Filed under: Gossypium barbadense (sea-island cotton)
Lineage: Eukaryota; Viridiplantae; Streptophyta; Magnoliopsida; Malvales; Malvaceae
Description: long non-coding RNA (GBAR_LNC003564)
Source: RNAcentral